GACUCUCGGCAACAGAUAUCUCAGCUCUCGCAUCAAUGAAGAACGUAGCGAAAUACGGUACUUGGUGUGAAUUGCAGAAUCCCGUGAACCAUUGAGUCUUUGAAUGCAAGUUGCGCCCGAAGCCAUUAGGCCGAGGGCACGUCUGCCUGGGUGUCA
RNAcentral lists this ribosomal RNA (156 nucleotides) under Nicotiana attenuata. Its description in RNAcentral is "rRNA 5_8S_rRNA". It matches the Rfam family "5.8S ribosomal RNA". Rfam says of the family: 5.8S ribosomal RNA (5.8S rRNA) is a component of the large subunit of the eukaryotic ribosome. It is transcribed by RNA polymerase I as part of the 45S precursor that also contains 18S and 28S rRNA. Lineage: Eukaryota; Viridiplantae; Streptophyta; Magnoliopsida; Solanales; Solanaceae. The record is from Rfam by way of RNAcentral.